CAACCAGGGAUUGCCUCAGUAACGGCGAGUGAAGCGGCAAGAGCUCAAAUUUGAAAUCUGACCUUUCAGGUCCGAGUUGUAAUUUGCAGAGGAUGUUUCGGGUAAGAUCCAGGCCUAAGUUCCUUGGAACAGGACGUCAUAGAGGGUGAGAAUCCCGUACGUGGCUCAUGAUCGCACCCAUGUGAAACUCCUUCGACGAGUCGAGUUGUUUGGGAAUGCAGCUCAAAAUGGGUGGUAAAUUUCAUCUAAAGCUAAAUAUUGGCCAGAGACCGAUAGCGCACAAGUAGAGUGAUCGAAAGAUGAAAAGCACUUUGAAAAGAGAGUUAAAAAGCAUGUGAAAUUGUUGAAAGGGAAGCGCUUGCAGCCAGACUUGUUUAUAGGGUUCAGCCGUCGUUCCCGUCGGUGUAUUUCCCUAUCAUCAGGCCAGCAUCAGUUUGGGUGGAAGGUCAAAGGCCUUGGGAAUGUACCAUCCUCCGGGAUGACUUAUAGCCCUCGGUGUAAUGCUUCCUACCUAGACUGAGGCACGCGUUCGCUAGGAUGCUGGCGUAAUGGCUGUAAGCGACCCGUCUUGAAACACGGACCAAGGAGUCUAACAUCUAUGCGAGUAUUUGGGUGUCAAACCCAUAUGCGUAAUGAAAGUGAACGGAGGUGGGAACCUUUUAGGCGCACCAUCGACCGAUCCAGAUGUCUUCGGAUGGAUUUGAGUAAGAGCAUAGCUGUUGGGACCCGAAAGAUGGUGAACUAUGCCUGAAUAGGGUGAAGCCAGAGGAAACUCUGGUGGAGGCUCGCAGCGGUUCUGACGUGCAAAUCGAUCGUCAAAUUUGGGUAUAGGGGCGAAAGACUAAUCGAACCAUCUAAACAAGUUAUUGGAUGGUAUCCAGUCCUCAACGAAUGCUGGGGGCAACGUCAAGAUUCUAUGGGAAGGCUCAAGUCCAACCCGUACCCUGGAAUUCCGGGGCUACAGACUAGAUAUUGGCGGUCAUGAUAAUGAUUAAGAUAUAGCCGGAAUGCCCUUGUAUAAGGGUCCGUUUUGGGUAGCUGGUUCCUGCCGAAGUUUC
RNAcentral lists this ribosomal RNA (1058 nucleotides) under Sclerococcum parasiticum. RNAcentral's name for it is "eukaryotic LSU rRNA". It matches the Rfam family "Eukaryotic large subunit ribosomal RNA", at positions 65 to 1109 of the family's 3401-position model. Lineage: Eukaryota; Fungi; Ascomycota; Eurotiomycetes; Sclerococcales; Dactylosporaceae. The record is from RNAcentral.